RNAcentral lists this long non-coding RNA (8588 nucleotides) under Lactuca sativa (garden lettuce). RNAcentral's name for it is "long non-coding RNA (LSAT_LNC004081)". Lineage: Eukaryota; Viridiplantae; Streptophyta; Magnoliopsida; Asterales; Asteraceae. The record is from RNAcentral.
AACCGCGUUCGGAAGGAAUAGGUUGUCGUGGGGAUGGAAUCCAGCCAUGUUAUCGACGCGAGAAUUUGGGGUAAGAAAAAAAAUAUUUAGAUGAACUAUCUAGAUAAUUAUUUAGGAAAUCUUCAUUAGUUCUAUCGCUAUUUGUAAAGUGCAUGCCAGUUAUAUGUAAUCAACACAGGAUAGGCCUUCGAAUAAGUGACCUCAACUCCAAAUUCACAAGGAAUAGAGGUAAAGCAAAAAUUUUACCGAUUCUAAGUCUAUAACAUCCUAGUUACAUAUAACUUUAGCGUAUCCACUUAGCAAUUAUCAACUUAGGAAUGAAGAUUCCAUUUUAGUUCUCAAGUAUAAAGUAAUUAUAGUAACACAAAACACCCCUAUGGUAUUUUAGACUUAGGUUCUGUUAUAAUGUUCUCAUUGUGGUAAUGUUGGUAAGUUUUUAGACUUGUUGCCAUAUCACAACCAUUCUUGGGCAUGUGCUAAUCACUCCUUGGAACAACAUAGUUGAUCAGGCUAUGCCACUCCCAAGACUGACCAUACAUCCCCGAGCUUACCUGUGAUAUUCAACAAUCUCAAUACUUUUUUUCUUGUCAUUGUGACACGGAUUUUAGUAUGAAUGCUCCAUCUUCUCAAAAACAUGGCCAUCGCACCUGUCUAACUGAUGACCAGAGAAUACAAGUUAUUUUGAAAGCGAGUAUCAGCUUUAAAGCUGGUGAAUUCAUAAGUAUUUAUGUGUUAUUGUCCUGUUUUGGAAUGCUGUUAAGAAUGUCGUAUAAAUCCUUAAAUAGAACAGUUGAUAUAACUAUGAAAUGUGGUCUUCUUCCAAGCCCCGAAUGUUUUGUUAUGACAAAGUAAAAUGAUAGGUUUUCCUUUCUAUUGACUAGUACUGAGAGUACUUAGUCUAACUCAUCGUUUAUGUGAAUAUAUCACAAAAUAAAGUAAAAUAGGAAAAUGAUAUGAUAGUCUUCUACCAAGACCUAAACGUUUUGUAAGUAAAAUGAUAGUUUUUCCUUUCUAUUGACUAGUACUAAAAGUACUUAGUCUAACUCAUCGUUUAUGUGAAUAUAUCACAAAAUAAAGUAAAUAGGAAAAAUAUAACCAUGUAAGUGUUAUCGCUGGUUACCAGGACUAAUACGCCAUCGCAAUAAGCGACAUGUCUAACCUAAUGAACAUACAAAGAUUGUCCAAUUGUCCUCUGUAGCAGCAGCAGGUUGGAGGAAGGGUUAGUCCCGUGGCCGACUCUUAAUACAAGCGUUAACCUAAUAAUCAUCCGAAGAUUUUCAUCACAUCCAUUGUUGCAACAGCAGGAGGGAGGUAUGGUUAGUCCCAGAACUGACUACUAAUAUAAGUAACAACCUUAGACAUUUGUAGAUGUUCAUCACCCAGUGUUGCUAACAGUUGGGUUCCGGAAUGGUUAGUCCCAUCUAUACAUCCCAUCGAACAGGGAUAGACAGGAAAAUUUACACAGAAUGUACGAAUAAAUCUUCCUAAUAUAAGUGAUAACCUUAGACAUCCAUAGAUGUUCAUCACCCAGUUUUGAUAACAACUGGGUUCCGGAAUGGUUAGUCCCGUCUAGACAUCCCGUCGAACAGGGAUAGGCAGGAAAAUUUACACAGAAGGUACGAAUAAAUCUUCCUAAUAACUCUAGGUACAAGUAUCCAGGUAAGUGAAUACAUGAUAAUGUAUCUAUGUAACAGUACUCAGGUAUGUUAUUCAUGUAAGCGUAUUCAGAUAAAUUUAUCUAUGUAAACUUACUCAUGUAUCAUGUAAUCCUAGGUAAAUGUACUCAUGUAUGAUGUAAGCAUAUGUAAGUGUACUGGUAUAGACUCAUGAAUGAACUGACUCCUGUGUGAUUCCUUGUAAUAGGAAUAAUGUUUGAUAUCUGCUAACUAUCCCUAUGAUAGUUAACAGAAAGGUAAUUGGUUGUUCAAGUAGGUUGAUACACUCUUGCUACCCAAGAGUGUUGGAAACUAAAUGAAGGGUGAAAACUAUAAUUUCUAACAUAUAUAUGAACAUAUGCGUAUAAGUAUAGUUUGGUUCAAGAAGGUAAAAAUGGUUUUGUACAACAUCUAAGAGUUUUGAACAAUAAUUAACAAUGAAUUGGUGUCAGUUUAAUAAACAUUUCAAAAGUGAUACAUUCGAUGACAAAGUAUUUUUAAGAUUUAAAACCAUUUCAUGCAUCAUAUUUUGUAGUAUGUGAAAUCUGUUGAUUUAAAACACAGUUAUAAAAUACAUAUAAAUGAUUUAAUAACAUGUUGUUUUCUACUUGUAUUCCCCCCCCCCAUUAAAGCAUUUAAAAUCAUUUAAAACGUUGAUUAGGGGUAUGAACUCACCUGUUGUGGGUGAUACGGAUGAACUAAACAGGUAGGGCUGCUAGGUAUCAAGUGAAAUCUUGAACACACUUACGAUCCUAGUUAACAUAUAAUUUCACAUAUAUGUAACAAAUUAGUCUAUAAACAACUAAUAAACAAGUCAAGACACCCUAGGACAUGCUAAACACCUUUACCAAGUGUUAUUAGCCUCUAGGAUUGCAUCUAAGUGUUUGUAGGGGAAGCUAUUGUGUGUAGGGCUCAAGGAAAACUCCACCAUGAAGUUCACGGCCCUAAUAACACUACCAAAUGAGUUUACGGUCGUAAACUCAUGAGUUUACGGCCGUGAACUCAUACCUAUGUGUCUAUUUGAAGUUUGAUGCUCUAUAAGGCCCUAAUAAGCAUUUCUACUUAAUGGAUUGGUCUAUGGAAGAGUUUAGGGCAUAAUAUAACUCCUUUUAGGAGUUGACGGCCCUGGGACCAUAUUCCCUUGGAGAUUACGGCCGUAAUCUCCCUUGGGAAGAUGUUUAUGGUGUUUUCAAGUCCCUAAAUUAAGUAGGAACUAAACUAGGCUUUUGUACAAGGCUUAAGAGGAGUUUAUGGCACCAUUUGGCACCAUUUUAUGGUGUUCACGGCCCUAGAACCUUUUGGGCCGUGAAUACCGUACUCUUGGUGUUCUAAGUGUGUUAGCUAGUCCCAAACUCAUUUAGGUACAUGCCCAAAUUAGUCUCUUGGCUUAAGGAAGGUUUUAAGGGCUUUUUGGCACUUAAACAUGGAGUUCACGGCCGAAGAACACCCUUGGCCGUGAACUCACUUUUCAUCCUUGUUUCUAAUUGAUUUUGGUAUCAUAAAUAUGUAAUGAAGGCUUCUAGUUUGAGUUCUAAGGCUUUGAGGGACUUAGGGAUACUUUUAGCCCUUAAAAUGGAGUUUACUCUCCGCGUGUUCUUGGGCGGUAAACUCCCAAAUCUUGGGGUCUUGAUCCGGUUUUGAUGUUUUCUAGUCAUAUACACACUAGCAUACAAGCCUAAGGUAGUUACCUAACAUGGGGAAAAGAGUAGGUAGCAUUUAAGCCACAUAUAGGAGUUUACUCUCGAAGAACGUUCUUAGGCGGUAAACUCCCGAAUCUCACAGAUUUGCUAUGUAAUCUAAGUUAUUAAGCACAUUAUAAGCAUUAUAAGACAACUAGAGAAGUGUACUCACGAUUUGGGAUAAAAACCCGAAGAUCCGUGAGAGAGAAAAUGGCUGUUCUCUAGUUGGAAAUGUAACUAAUGACAUAAUUUGGUUUAGAAUUCUAUUUAUAGUCCUGAGAUAUUUUUGGCAGAAAAUAUUUUUAUUCCCGAAAUGAUUUCAAAUAUAACCAAGUGUUGGAAUAAUAGUGUUACACAAAACCCUAGUGCAUCCACUCUCCUGAUAUCUCCUUAAGUGUAAAUCGUGAAAAACUCAAACUUAUACCCAAAGUUUGGAAUUUUGCUGAAACUGUUCUAACUUCUAUUGGCUUGAUAUGGUUUGUUUAAAAUGGAAAUUUCGAGUUGUCAUAUCAUCCCCCUGUUAAAGGGAAUUUCAUCCCGAAAUUAGAAUAUAGAUAAGGAAGUAGGUAUAAAUGAUCGAGUCGUUAGGUGAAAACUUCUUAAUCGAUUUGCUCUCGCGCUCCCAAGUGAAAUCGGGUUCUCAGUUGGUAUUCCAACGAGCCUUCACUAAUGGGCGACGGGGUUGCUUCGUCCGCUUGGCCACUCGGUCGAGUUUCACUACGGUUCUAAUACGAAGACGAGGAUCUCAUAAAUCUCAAUCUCGUCGAGAGGGAUUACAAAAGUCCUAACAGAAAGAUAAUGUUUCAAGUUCGAGACGCGAAGGGGAAAAUGUACGUUAUUGAGUUCGCGGAGUAGGUCUAAUUUGUGAGAUGUAAGACGGAUUCUGGUAAGAAUCUCGGAGGUCCUAACUAUAUUGGAUUUAGUUUUCCACGCUUUACGAAGCGUAUUAAGCCAUUCCCAGAGCGAGGAGUCCUAAAAAAUUUGGUCUCUCACUUGGAAUUCCAAAGGUUCAUCCUCUCGCUUACUUCCCAGUCAAGGGCCAUCCCUUGUCGGGUCAAAGUCAAAAGGGUUCCUGAAGUUUGUGAGGGAUUCCGAAUGGACUAUGAUAGUAGGCCUGUAAGACCUAGAAUUUGGCGAAUUUCUCGUCGGUGACUAUGGUGCCGACAAAUUCCCAACGGUUUUGGAUAACUUGCCAGAGUAUUCAAGAAUUUCCACAUCACUAAUAGUGUGUCUCAGGAAAUCUGACUCUAAAUUCCAAACCUCAUGUUCAGAGAAAUUUGCAAAAAGUAUNAAGUAUCUCCAGGGUAAUGUUUCCAUGGGUUCUUUCUUACUACUAGGGUAGAUAAGUAAGUCAUUUCAUGGAGAAAUGACGAACUGAUUCCAGUAAGAAAGACGUACUCCACUCAUUUAGCUCAUGAAUAUUGUGGGCGUAUUGGUUCUAUCCGAGGGGUAUCACUACUGACUUGAAAUGUCCGCAUUGAGUUCGGAGGAUAGUCUUCAGGACAACAUCCUUCCCUAUGACAUCGAACUGGUGAUAUUCGGAUCUCAGGUCCAUUUCUAAAAGUACUGUUUCCCUGUGUUUACUCAAUCAAUUCGUCUAAGCGAGGCAGAGACAACGAUUUCUAAAGGAAAUCUAAAUGAAGUCUCCAGUAGUCGAGGUACAUAUGAUGCACUCCGUCGACUUUUGGUAAGAAUAAGACCGGAGCUCUCAAGGGUGACAAACCUGGUCUUCUAAUUCUAUUGUUGAGUAGUUCGUUGUGUUGUCCGGGCUGUUCUUGUAUCUUCCGUAGAUGUUUAGACUGUAAGGCGUUCUGGUUAUAAGAGUCAUACUGGGUCCUAAGUUUGUUCACAUGCUAAAUGCAAUUACUCGUAGUCUUGGGCAGUCUCCGUCCUGAAGUUCAUAUUAUAAUUCAUACAUGGUUCAAUGAUCACAAUUUCGUGUAUACGAGUCGUAUAUAAUUAAGGUUGAAAAGCUAGUCGAAUAACUGAUUCUUCCUUAAUCUCACAUCCCAUUGAGGGAAAAGAAGUUAUAGUGGAAUCAUCAAUUCUAAACCUGUAGAACAUUGAUUAUAUAUCACUCUCAUGUAUACAUUCUUCAGUGAUAGGUCAACUGUAUGAAUCCUGGAAUUGAACUUGACGUACUGCACAAGUAGUACUGUGGGGAUUCCUUCGGAAAGGAAAAGAACUAUAAGGUACUUCAUGCACGAGUUCCUCGGUGUUUUGAUAUGACGGCUUCGCUAAAAGACGUUUACUAAGAAGGAGAUGUACUUAUGAAGCUGGUAUUGUGCGGAUCGAAUUGAAUUGAGUCAUAUGAUAAUGUCAGAAUCAUAUAGAAACUUAAAGACAUUAGAUUUGAACAUAAAAUGUUUACAGACAAAAACAACCAUGCAACCAUGAACAGAGUUACAAUACUUUAAAUUUGUUACAAGACUAUUGCUACGAAUAAGAUAUACUACAAAAGACAAGUAUGCGCAGCACGAGCAUCCCUAUACCGACAGGAUCCCGCAAAAGAUAAGACUCUAGUUGCACUAGUUUUAAACAUGAUUUUGAACAUACAAAAUACUGACGAUUUGGAGGGAACCUAUACUAUAUUAGGGUCCUUAACUGCCUCUUUGCAUUCUGAGGUCAAACUCCUCCGAAUUUGUCGUUGUCCUUCUCUGAUGGACAGUCCAUCUUGAAGUGUCCCAUGACGCCACAUAUAUGGCAUAUCUGAGAGGUUUGGACAUUGGUGGUUGAAGAAAUGUGUUGGAUCUAGAUCCUGCAGUAACUGGCAGUAUGUCCAUUUCUGUUGCACUUAUAACAGUGUAACGGUCAGCACUACCCAGAUGAUGAAAGCUACACUCAUAGCAUUUCGGUAGGUUUCCGGCAUAUUGUCUGGCUGGUGUGGGGACCAUUGGGACACUAGAAGGAAUGGUCAUAGGAGGUGCAGAUGUCGUAGCGGUGUUCUUAUUCGCCCCUCGAAGCGAUUUGUUCUUCCUUUUGGCCGAAAACUUCCGGCUGUUACUCUUGGUCUCGGCACUCGGGGUAUCGUGGUAGUUUAUUGCUCGUUGCGGUGCUUGAUUGUUACUUGGAUUGGAAUUGUUGUUAACAAUCCCACUAACACUUGCGUUGUUAGCGUUCAGAUGUGUCAGAAUAGCUGACACGGCAGCCGAGACUGCAGCUUGAAAGAUAACUGCAUCAAUCUGAAGAGUUGAUGUUUGGUUGAUGGGCUGAUCGUUUUUCUUGGGUGACAUGAUUCUGUUACACCGAAAGAAAAUGAAUUUGUGAGCGAGAAUGGUUGAACCUAGACGUAGUUCGAUCGCUCAUGAAAAGAAUAGAAGUAUGUUUUCUAAGGUUCGACCUACAUCCCUAUGAUGCAGUCCUAGCACGGAAUGGAAGUAUGUACACGAAGGUUUGACCUACAUCCCAAUGAUGCAGUCCUAGCAAAGAUCGGAAGUAAGUUCGUGCAAUGGUCUCAAGAUGCUUGUCGUUCUAGCCGAGGUGUCGUUGGUUGGCGAAUAAUGUGAUCCAACCAUUAAAAGAGACUCGGAGAUGUCUCCGGAGUUAAAUUGCUAUAGUCCAAUGACUUGACUAGAGCAUGUUUCAAAUAGACUCUAAUGAAAGUAUGAUAAGAGUAUUCGAAUAAAGAAUGACACAUGAGUUAGCCGGCUGUCAAUAUCUUUGAUAUUCAUGACGUACAAGUUCGGGAAAAUGACCUUUUAAAAAGGUUUUACAUCAUAUCCAGAGAUGAUAGUUCUCGACAGCAUAAAGACCUAACUAAGGUACUUACAAUACAAGAUAGUUUCAUAGAAAAUGCCACAUCGGGCAUAGACAGGAACACGAUUCUUUUCUAACAAGAAAUAUAAAGUAAAGCAUCUACUACUGGCGACGGUCAGCCCUCUGGUGAACUCUCAGAUCAGCCAGUUGGCGUUCCACAUCAAGUAGGUGUCUUUCGUACACUCUCUGGCGUACUUGAAGUUCCAUGACUUCGGCUCGUGAUUCAGCCAGUGCUUGCAGCACAGUUUCAUGAUCUUUCUCAGACCUCUCACGAGCAUGUUCAAGGCGACUGGUGCAAAUCGUAUACAUUGCUCCAUUUGUAUCAACUUCUGCGAUACGUUGUAGAGCUGUCAUGCCCUGAAUUUCGUUUCGGGCAACUCUUCGGAUCAGAAUUGGCAUGCUUCUGUCUGCUGAGCCCCCAUUGCUCAGGUCAUAGAAGCUUCGGUCACCAUUAAAUGGCAUGGGCUGAUAUUGUCCUUGGCUCCAUGUUUCCAAAUAUUCCACCCACUCAGGCGUCGGGCCUUGAAAAGCCGGNAGGGAGCUGCCUGGGGUAGGUUCUCAACCUCGGGUUCGGAGAUGGCAUCGUCUGAAAGGUCUUCAGCAUGGUGAUCAUUCAGAGGGAUUGGAUGAUCAUUAUCUGGUUCUUCUCCAAACUAUCCAACAAUAACCGCGUUCGGAAGGAACAGGUUGUCGUGGGGAUGGAAUCCAGCCAUGUUAUCUACACGAUAAUUUGGGGUAAGAAAAUAAAUAUUUAGACGAACUAUCUAGAUAAUUAUUUAGGAAAUCUUUAUUAGUUCUAUCGCUAUUUGUAAAGUGCAUGCCAGUUAUAUGUAAUCAACAUAGGAUAGGCCUUCGAAUAAGUGACCUCAACUCCAAAUUCACAAGGAAUAGAGGUAAAGCAAAAAUUUUACCGAUUCUAAGUCUAUAACAUCCUAGUUACAUAUAACUUUAGCGUAUCCACUUAGCAAUUAUCAACUUAGGAAUGAAGAUUCCAUUUUAGUUCUCAAGUAUAAAUUAAUUAUAGUAACACAAAACACCCCUAUGGUAUUUCAGACUUAGGUUCUGUUAUAAUGUUCUCAUUGUGGUAAUGUUGGUAAGUUUUUAGAUUUGUUUCCAUGUCACAACCAUUCUUGGGCAUGUGCUAAUCACUCCUCGAAACAACAUAGUUGAUCAAGCUAUGCCACUACCAAGACUGACCAUACAUCCUCGAGCUUACCUGUGAUAUUCAACAAUCUCAAUACUUUUGUUCUUGUCAUUGUGACACGGAUUUUAGUAUGAAUGCUCCAUCUUCUCAAAAACAUGGCCAUCGCACCUGUCUAACUGAUGACCAGAGAAUACAAGUUAUUUUGAAAGCGAGUAUCAGCUUUAAAGCUGGUGAAUUCAUAAGUAUUUAUGUGUUAUUGUCCUGUUUUGGAAUGCUGUUAAGAAUGUCGUAUAAAUCCUUAAAUAGAACAGUUGAUAUAACUAUGAAAUGUGAUCUUCUUCCAAGCCCCGAAUG